Non-coding RNA from Acanthosepion pharaonis, 91 nucleotides. The record is from the annotation of a GenBank genome assembly. Lineage: Eukaryota; Metazoa; Mollusca; Cephalopoda; Sepiida; Sepiidae.
CUUACCGGUCCCCGUACGAUCACUGAAGUUAAGCAACAUUGGACCUGGUCAGUAACUUGAUGAGUGACCGCCUAGGAAUACCAGGGCUGUA